This is a long non-coding RNA of Arabidopsis thaliana (thale cress), 247 nucleotides long. RefSeq annotates it as other RNA. NCBI's taxonomy places the organism in Eukaryota, Viridiplantae, Streptophyta, Magnoliopsida, Brassicales, Brassicaceae. The record is from RefSeq. The transcript has a single exon.
AAAUGAUACAUAAGUUGACGAAAAAAGAAGGACAUGUUCUAGGAUGGCUUGCGUAAUAUAAACUGACUGGCGAAUACCGAGUCAUAUUUUACAUUUUUAAAAGACAAAAAAAAAAAACAAAUUGGUAUAGAAAGACUCCAAACGUGUAUAUGAAAGAAACCUUCAUAUAUCCAUGAGCUUUUACAUCUCUACAGCACUCUCUCUCGCUCUCCUCCACCAUCAGAGGUCUGCUCUCUCUCUUUCUUCU